GACAUAGCUCAGUUGGUUAAAGCACUGUGCUGAUAAUGCCAAGGUUGCAGGUUCAAUCCCUGUAUGGGACA
Podarcis lilfordi (Lilford's wall lizard) is the source of this 71-nucleotide non-coding RNA. Lineage: Eukaryota; Metazoa; Chordata; Lepidosauria; Squamata; Lacertidae. The record is from the annotation of a GenBank genome assembly.